CAGCCGCCACGGUAAUACAGAGGGUGCAAGCGUUAAUCGGAAUUACUGGGCGUAAAGCGCGCGUAGGUGGUUCGCCAAGUUGGAUGUGAAAUCCCCGGGCUCAACCUGGGAACUGCAUCCAAAACUGGCGAGCUAGAGUAUGGUAGAGGGUGGUGGAAUUUCCUGUGUAGCGGUGAAAUGCGUAGAUAUAGGAAGGAACAUCAGUGGCGAAGGCGACCACCUGGACUGAUACUGACACUGAGGUGCGAAAGCGUGGGGAGCAAACAAGAUUAGAUACCCCCGUAGUCCCUGUCUCUUAUAC
This 301-nucleotide ribosomal RNA is filed under the name uncultured bacterium. RNAcentral describes it as "partial 16S ribosomal RNA". It matches the Rfam family "Bacterial small subunit ribosomal RNA", at positions 509 to 807 of the family's 1533-position model. The record is from RNAcentral.